CCACGAGGGUUAACAUCGGAGCGAAUAGGAAGGGAAGAAAACCCGGAUAUGAAGCGAAAACGAAGGACCAAACAUAUAGCAGGAGUCACCUAGGAAAGGCUAGAGUUAAACUGUUGGGACCCGAAAGAUGGUGAACUAUGCUUGUGGUGUUUAAAGCCGAAGGAAACUUUGGUGGAAGGAUUUAGGAGUGUUAACGUGCAAAUUACUUGCAAUAUAUGAGUAUAGGGGCGAAAGACUAAUCGAAUUAUCUAGUAGCUGGUUCCACCUGAAUAUUCCCUUAGGAAGGUUGAAGUGAGGAAGUAUUGACGAUUCGUAAAGAUGAUGAUUGCACAUGAUGGACAGUUUGAUUUUUCAACAUUUUAACAAACUAUGAAUAGUCGAGAAAUUCAAAAAUAUACUAAUUUAUUAGGAGUGAGCAUAUGGGACUUCAAAUCGGCCAAGUCUGGUAAGCAGGACUGGCGAUGCGGGAUAAACCGAACAUACAGAUAAAUUAUUUAAGGCUUGCAUGAGGAGAACCAUUGAAAAUAUUUAUUCAUAUUGACAGGAAAUUUGCCAUUGAAAUUGUAAAUUUUUAGAAAAGUGUAACAACUCAUUUACCGAAUGGAUGAGCCCUGAAAAUGGAAGGUAUUAUAAUGAGAGAGGUGAUAUUGUAUUUUUGUGGAGGCUGAGGCACACGAGGAGUAAGGAAAUACAUGGUGUCAAGAAUACGUGAGUGAUAAAGGUCGAGAAGUAAUUUCUAUUGAAACAGACUUGAGUACAGAUCUUGG
This is a ribosomal RNA of Entamoeba invadens IP1, 767 nucleotides long. It matches the Rfam family "Eukaryotic large subunit ribosomal RNA", at positions 666 to 1454 of the family's 3401-position model. Lineage: Eukaryota; Evosea; Mastigamoebida; Endamoebidae. The record is from Rfam.